This 76-nucleotide transfer RNA is filed under the name Candidatus Saccharibacteria bacterium RAAC3_TM7_1. Its description in RNAcentral is "tRNA-Thr (CGT) (tRNA-Thr-CGT-1-1)". It matches the Rfam family "tRNA". Rfam says of the family: Transfer RNA (tRNA) molecules are approximately 80 nucleotides in length. Their secondary structure includes four short double-helical elements and three loops (D, anti-codon, and T loops). Further hydrogen bonds mediate the characteristic L-shaped molecular structure. tRNAs have two regions of fundamental functional importance: the anti-codon, which is responsible for specific mRNA codon recognition, and the 3' end, to which the tRNAs corresponding amino acid is attached (by aminoacyl-tRNA synthetases). tRNAs cope with the degeneracy of the genetic code in two manners: having more than one tRNA (with a specific anti-codon) for a particular amino acid; and 'wobble' base-pairing, i.e. permitting non-standard base-pairing at the 3rd anti-codon position. The record is from RNAcentral. RNAcentral also lists the same sequence under 1 other name. Lineage: Bacteria; Candidatus Saccharimonadota.
GCCGCCUUAGCUCAGUUGGUAGAGCGGUACUUUCGUAAAGUAUAGGUCGCCGGUUCAAAUCCGGCAGGCGGCUCCA